Molecule: transfer RNA, 61 nt
Filed under: Megalotomus sp.
Lineage: Eukaryota; Metazoa; Arthropoda; Insecta; Hemiptera; Alydidae
Description: tRNA-His
Source: RNAcentral
AUCCAAAUAGUUUAAUUAGAAUAAUAAUUUGUGGUGUUAUAGGUGUAAAGUACUUUGGAUU